This is a long non-coding RNA of Beta vulgaris subsp. vulgaris (sugar beet), 1295 nucleotides long. RefSeq lists it as uncharacterized. The record is from RefSeq and is a predicted model, not a curated record. The transcript has 2 exons. NCBI's taxonomy places the organism in Eukaryota, Viridiplantae, Streptophyta, Magnoliopsida, Caryophyllales, Amaranthaceae.
UUGGUGUUCCUAUCUUUAUUUCUCUCUCCUCUGUUUUAUUCCGACAAUCUGUUGCCCCAAUUAUCUACAACAUGAAAUCCAAUUUUGCUCUUUGUUGCUGAAUCAAAGUUGUAGAUCACUUUGAGCUUAUGAAUUUGGGCACAAAAAUCACUUGAUUUGGAGUUCGGAGCUAUGAGUUAUGGUCUUUGUAAGUUUGGUGUUCCUAUCUUCAUUUCUCUCUCCUCUGUUUUACUCCGACAAUCUGUUUCCUCAAUUAUCUACAAAAUGCAGUCCAAUUUUGCUAUUUUUUGCUGAAUGAAAGUUGUAGAUCACUUCGAGCUAAUGAAUUUGGGCACAAAAAUCGCUCAAUUCGGAGUUCGGAACUAGGAGUUACACCUCACACAAGUUCAGCACUGCUGCUGUACCUUGUGUUGCGCUGCUGUCGUGGUUGGCUUGUUUGCCCAUGUUGUCAUUGCUAACUUGUUGCCUUGUUACUGCCAUUGUUGGUAUUCCUUUCCAUAUGAAGGUAUAAGCUAAUUUUUCUUAAUUCCUUCGAUUCCAAUUCAAGUGUGGUGCAAUUGGAUUUUAUCUUAUGAUUUUAGAAAUAAACUUGGUUCUAAAUUUUGUUAUUGAUUAGCAAAUAUAGUUAUGAUAAGAGUUGUUAAACUUAAAGAUUGAAUAUUUUAUCUUUCUUAUUGGAUUGAAGCUUCUAAUAUGAAGUAAGCCACUUAAGUAAGUUUAUAAAAACUGAUUUUUAUAAAUUAUGUUGUUUGAUAAUACUCUUUGAAAUCAGAAUGAUGUUAAAUAGAGAUGGAAUUGAUGUUGUGAGUUGGAUUAGUAGAAUGGGUUAUAUAUAAGAGUUGUGGUGGUUAGUUCAUGGAAGAGCUUAGAAAGUAUGAGUAAUUCAAUUUGUUUAUCUAAUUGGUAGUAAGGAUGUUAAUUGUUGUUCAUAUUAUUGUGAGGUGAUUGUUGGAGAUUGAUAAAGAAUUUAGAGAUGUCGGAUCUUGAAGAAUUAUUAUGGAAUUGAGCAUUCCUUGGGGAAAAUGAAGGAGGGUUCAUUGUUAGUGAUUUUGCAGGGUUGAUGUCGAGGUCGUGGAAUAUGAUUAUUGAUCAAGAAAAGAGUUUUAUGUUAUGAAAUGGUGGCUGAGGUUAAAGUUAGAUGUUUUGUUUCAAAGUAUUUGUAAUCUGUUAUUUGAUUUUCAAGUUGUUAUAUUGUGGGCCCGACCCACAGAUCCAGGAUCGUUUUUAUAGGUUUAGUUUCCGCUGUAAAUAAAUGCAAAUUCGAGGUUUGUUAAGUGUUGAUUUUGUUUUGUGUA